GACGAACGCUGGCGGCGUGCUUAACACAUGCAAGUCGAACGGAAAGGCCCUGCUUUUGUGGGGUGCUCGAGUGGCGCACGGGUGAGUAACACGUGAGUAACCUGCCCUUGACUUUGGGAUAACUUCAGGAAACUGGGGCUAAUACCGGAUAGGAGCUCCUGCUGCAUGGUGGGGGUUGGAAAGUUUCGGCGGUUGUGGAUGGACUCGCGGCUUAUCAGCUUGUUGGUGGGGUAGUGGCUUACCAAGGCUUCGACGGGUAGCCGGCCUGAGAGGGUGACCGGCCACAUGGGGACUGAGAGACGGCCCAGACUCCUACGGGAGGCAGCAGUGGGGAAUAUUGCACAAUGGGCGGAAGUCUGAGGCAGCAACGCCGCGUGCGGGAUAACGGCCUUCGGGGGGUAAACCGCUUUCGCCGGUGACGAAGCGUGAGUGACGGUAAUGGGUAAAGAAGCACCGGCUAACUACGUG
RNAcentral lists this ribosomal RNA (468 nucleotides) under uncultured bacterium. Its description in RNAcentral is "partial 16S ribosomal RNA". It matches the Rfam family "Bacterial small subunit ribosomal RNA", at positions 28 to 507 of the family's 1533-position model. The record is from RNAcentral.